GCAUAUCAAUAAGCGGAGGAAAAGAAACCAACAGGGAUUGCCCUAGUAACGGCGAGUGAAGCGGCAACAGCUCAAAUUUGAAAGCUGGCUCUCGGGCCCGCAUUGUAAUUUGCAGAGGAUGCUUCUGGCGACGCGCCUUCCGAGUUCCCUGGAACGGGACGCCAUAGAGGGUGAGAGCCCCGUCCGGUCGUGCGCCUAGCCUCUGUGAAGCUCCUUCGACGAGUCGAGUAGUUUGGGAAUGCUGCUCAAAAUGGGAGGUAUACGUCUUCUAAAGCUAAAUAUUGGCCAGAGACCGAUAGCGCACAAGUAGAGUGAUCGAAAGAUGAAAAGCACUUUGAAAAGAGAGUUAAAAAGUACGUGAAAUUGUUGAAAGGGAAGCGCUCAUGACCAGACUUGGGCUGGCUCGAUCAUCCGUCGUUCUCGACGGUGCACUCGGGCCGCUCAGGCCAGCAUCAGCUUCCGCCGGGGGAUAAAGGCAGUGGGAAUGUGGCUCCCUCGGGAGUGUUAUAGCCCGCCGUGCAAUACCCUGGUGGGGGCUGAGGUUCGCGCGUAUGCACGGAUGCUGGCGUAAUGGUCAUCAGCGACCCGUCUUGAAACACGGACCAAGGAGUCGUCUUCGUAUGCGAGUGUUCGGGUGUCAAACCCCUACGCGGAAUGAAAGUGAACGCUGGUGAGAGCUUCGGCGCAUCACCGACCGAUCCUGAUGUUCUCGGAUGGAUUUGAGUAAGAGCAUACGGGGCCGGACCCGAAAGAAGGUGAACUAUGCCUGUAUAGGGUGAAGCCAGAGGAAACUCUGGUGGAGGCUCGCAGCGGUUCUGACGUGCAAAUCGAUCGUCAAAUAUGGGCAUGGGGGCGAAAGACUAAUCGAACCUUCUAGUAGCUGGUUUCCGCCGA
This 894-nucleotide ribosomal RNA is filed under the name Trichothecium sympodiale. Its description in RNAcentral is "LSU rRNA". It matches the Rfam family "Eukaryotic large subunit ribosomal RNA", at positions 38 to 964 of the family's 3401-position model. Lineage: Eukaryota; Fungi; Ascomycota; Sordariomycetes; Hypocreales. The record is from RNAcentral.